Molecule: ribosomal RNA, 440 nt
Filed under: uncultured bacterium
Lineage: Bacteria
Description: partial 16S ribosomal RNA
Rfam family: Bacterial small subunit ribosomal RNA
Source: RNAcentral
CCUACGGGUGGCAGCAGUGGGGGAUAUUGCACAAUGGGGGAAACCCUGAUGCAGCGACGCCGCGUGGGUGAAGAAGCGCCUCGGCGCGUAAAGCCCUGUCAGCAGGGAAGAAAAUGACGGUACCUGAAGAAGAAGCCCCGGCUAACUACGUGCCAGCAGCCGCGGUAAUACGUAGGGGGCAAGCGUUAUCCGGAUUUACUGGGUGUAAAGGGGGCGUAGACGGUCCUGCAAGCCAGAUGUGAAAGCCCGGGGCUCAACCCCGGGACUGCAUUUGGAACUGUAAGGCUAGAGUGUCGGAGAGGCAGGCGGAAUUCCUGGUGUAGCGGUGAAAUGCGUAGAUAUUAGGAGGAACACCAGUGGCGAAGGCGGCCUGCUGGACGAUGACUGACGUUGAGGCUCGAAAGCGUGGGGAGCAAACAGGAUUAGAUACCCUAGUAGUC